AGCUUGCUCUUCNCGGUUAGCGGCGGACGGGUGAGUAACACGUAGGCACCUGCCUGUACGACUGGGAUAACUCCGGGAAACCGGAGCUAAUACCGGAUAGGAUGUCAGACCGCAUGGUCUGACAUGGAAAGGUCUUGUAACCACGUACAGAUGGGCCUGCGGCGCAUUAGCUAGUUGGUGGGGUAACGGCCUACCAAGGCGACGAUGCGUAGCCGACCUGAGAGGGUGAUCGGCCACACUGGGACUGAGACACGGCCCAGACUCCUACGGGAGGCAGCAGUAGGGAAUCUUCCGCAAUGGACGAAAGUCUGACGGAGCAACGCCGCGUGAACGAUGAAGGUUUUCGGAUCGUAAAGUUCUGUUGUUAGGGAAGAACCGCCGGGAUGACCUCCCGGUCUGACGGUACCUAACCAGAAAGCCCCGGCUAACUACGUGCCAGCAGCCGCGGUAAUACCUAGGGGGCAAGCGUUGUCCGGAAUUAUUGGGCGUAAAGCGCGCGCAGGCCGCUUCUUAAGUCUCGUGUGAAUGCCCACGGCUCAGCCGUGGAGAGCCACUUGAAACUGGGAAGCUUGAGUGCAGGAGAGGACAGCGGAAUUCCACGUGUAGCGGUGAAAUGCGUAGAGAUGUGGAGGAACACCCGUGGCGAACGCGGCUCUCUGGCCUGUAACUGACGCUGAGGCGCGAAAGCGUGGGGAGCGAACAGGAUUAGAUACUCUGGUAUUCCACGCCAUACACGAUCAGUGCUAAGUGUUGGGGACUCCUAUCCUCAUUGCCGCAGCUAACGCAAUAAGCACUCCGCCUGGGGAGUACGGCCGCAAGGCUGAAACUCAAAAGAAUUGACAGGGACCUGCACA
Molecule: ribosomal RNA, 854 nt
Filed under: Aneurinibacillus migulanus
Lineage: Bacteria; Bacillati; Bacillota; Bacilli; Caryophanales; Paenibacillaceae
Description: bacterial SSU rRNA
Rfam family: Bacterial small subunit ribosomal RNA
Source: RNAcentral